Molecule: ribosomal RNA, 253 nt
Filed under: uncultured bacterium
Lineage: Bacteria
Description: partial 16S ribosomal RNA
Rfam family: Bacterial small subunit ribosomal RNA
Source: RNAcentral
UACGCAGGUGGCGAGCGUUAUCCGGAAUUACUGGGCGUAAAGCGUACGCAGGCGGCUUCUUAAGUCUGACGUGAAAGCUCCCGGCUUAACUGGGAGAGGUCGUUGGAGACUGGGGGGCUUGAGGCGAUGAGAGGGGUGUAGAAUUCCAGGUGUAGUGGUGGAAUGCGUAGAUAUCGGGAGGAAUACCAGUGGCGAAAGCGAAACCCUGGCAUAGGCCUGACGCUCAUGUAAGAAAGCGUUGGGAGCAAACGGG